This 3743-nucleotide long non-coding RNA is filed under the name Equus caballus (horse). RNAcentral's name for it is "lncRNA (ENSECAG00000053664.1)". The record is from RNAcentral. Lineage: Eukaryota; Metazoa; Chordata; Mammalia; Perissodactyla; Equidae.
CUCCUUCACUUCCUUGGUUAAGUUUAUCCCAAGGUAUUUUAUUCUUUUCGUUGUGAUUGUGAAUGGGAUUGAGUUCUUGAGUUCUUUUUCUGUUAGUUCAUUGUUAGUGUAUAGAAAUGCUACUGAUUUAUGCACGUUAAUUUUAUACCCUGCUACUUUGCUGUAGUUGUUGAUUAUUUCUAAUAGUUUUUCUGUGGAUUCUUUGGCGUUUUCUAUAUAUAAGAUCAUGUCGUCUGCAAACAACGAGAGUUUUACUUCUUCGUUACCUAUUUGGAUUCCUUUUAUUUCUUUUUCCUGCAGAAUUGCUCUGGCCAGCACCUCCAGUACUAUGUUGAAUAGGAGUGGUGAAAGUGGGCACCCUUGUCUUGUUCCUGUCCUCAGAGGGAUGGCUUUCAGCUUUUGUCCAUUGAGUAUGAUGUUGGCUGUGGGUCUAUCAUAUAUGGCCUUUAUUAUGUUGAGGUACUUUCCUUCUAUACCCAUUUUACUGAGGGUUUUUAUCAUAAAUGGGUGUUGGAUCUUGUCGAAUGCUUUCUCUGCAUCUAUUGAGAUGAUCAUGUGGUUUUUGUUUUUCAUUUUGUUGAUGUAGUGUAUCACGUUGAUUGACUUGCGGAUGUUAAACCAUCCCUGUGUCCCUGGUAUAAAUCCCACUUGAUCAUGGUGUAUAAUCUUUUUGAUGUAUUGCUGUAAUCGGUUUGCCAAAAUUUUGUUGAGGAUUUUUGCAUCUAUGUUCAUCAGUGAUAUCGGCCUGUAGUUCUCCUUCUUUAUGUUGUCCUUGUCAGGUUUGGGGAUCAGAGUGAUGUUGGCUUCAUAGAAUGUGUUAGGGAGUUCUCCAUCUUUCUCAAUUUUCUGGAACAGUUUGAGGAGAAUAGGUAUUAAGUCUUCUUUGAAUGUUUGGUAGAAUUCUCCAGAGAAGCCGUCUGGUCCUGGACUCUUGUUUUUGGGGAGGUUUUUGAUUACCGUUUCUAUUUCCUUACUUGUGAUUGGUCUAUUCAGAUUCUCCAUUUCUUCCUGAUUCAGUUUGGGGAGAUUGUAGGAGUCUAGGAAUUUGUCCAUUUCUUCCAGGUUGUUCAAUUUGUUGGCAUAUAGUUUUUCAUAGUAUUCUCUUAUGAUCUCUUGUAUUUCAUUGGUAUCUGUUGUGAUUUCUCCUCUGUCAUUCCUGAUUUUAUUAAUUUGCAAUUUCUCUCUUCUUUUCUUGGUGAGUCUGGCUAGGGGUUUGUCAAUUCUGUUAAUUCUUUCGAAGAACCAACUCUUUGUUUCAUUGAUCCUUUCUAUUGUCUUUUUUGUUUCAAUAUCGUUUAUUUCUGCUCUUAUUUUUAUUAUUUCCCUCCUUCUACUGACUCUGGGCUUUGUUUGUUCUUCUUUUUCUAGUUCUUUUAGGUGUCGUUUGAGGUUGCUUACGUGAGCUUUUUCUUGUUUAGUGAGGUGAGCCUGUAUUGCGAUGAAUUUCCCUCUUAGGACUGCUUUUGCUGCAUCCCAAAUGAUUUGGUAUGUCGUGUUCUCAUUUUCAUUUGUCUCCAGAUAAUAUUUGAUUUCUUCUUUAAUUUCUUCAAUGAUCCAUUGUUUGUUGAGAAGCGUGUUGUUUAGUCUCCACAUUUUUGCACCUUUCUCUGCUUUUUUCUUGUAGUUGAUUUCUAGUUUAAUAGCGUUAUGAUCAGAAAAGAUGCUUGAUAUUAUUUCAACUCUCUUGUAUUUAUUGAUGUUUGCUUUGGUUCCCAAAAUAUGGUCAAUCCUUGAGAAUGUUCCAUGUGCACUUGAGAAGAAUGUGUAACCUGCUGUUUUUGGAUGAAGUGUUCUAUAUAUAUCUAUUAAGUCCAUCUGGUCUAAUUUUUCAUUUAAUUCUAUUAUUUCCUUGUUGAUUUUCUGUCUGGAUGUUCUGUCCAUUGGUGUUAAUGGUGUGUUGAGGUCCCCUACUAUUAUUGUAUUGUUGUUGAUGUCUUCUUUUAGUUCUAUUAAGAGUUGCUUUACAAAUUUUGGUGCUCCUGUGUUGGGUGCGUAUAUAUUUAUAAGUGUUAUGUCUUCUUGGUGGAGAGUCCCUUUUAUCAUUAUAUACUGUCCCUCUUUAUCUUUCUUUAUCUGUUUUGCUUUGAAAUCUACCUUGUCUGAUAUUAGUAUAGCGACACCUGCUUUCUUUUGUUCAUUAUUAGCUUGGAGUAUUGUUCUCCAUCCCUUCACUCUGAGUCUGUGUUUGUCUUUGGGGCUGAGGUGUGUUUCCUGGAGGCAACAAAUUGUUGGAUCUUGUUCUUUAAUCCAUCUUGCCACUGUGUCUUUUUAUUGGAGAGUUCAAUCCGUUUACAUUGAGGGUGAUUAUUGAUGCGUGAAGGUUUAUGCUGUCAUUCUGUCACUCGUUUUCCGGUUUUCCUGCAUUUCCUUUGUUUCUCGUCCUGUGUGUUUUAGCCUACCCAUUGACAUCUGCAAAUUCUUAUGCUGGGUUUCUUAGCUUUUUCCUUAUUUAUGUUUUGUGUGUCUGUUCUGUUUUUUAGUUUAGUGGCUACCCUGAAUUUUGUGUUUAGAAUCUGGUGCAUAACAUAGUCCAUUGUCUGGUGGUCUCUUACUUCCUUAGCCUAAACUGAUUCAGUCCCUUUCCUCCACCCUCCUAAAUUAUUAUUUUCAUCUCUUAUUCCAACUUGUGUUUUGAGUUUGUGGUUAGAGUGAUAAGAUCGUCUUUACUUUGGUGAUUUUCCCUUCCCUUUAUCCUAAUGUUGUAGUUGAAUAUUUGCUAUCCUAUUCGGAUAUUAUCUGUCUCCCUACUCUGUGUUUUGUGAUCCCUUUCUCCCUUUUCUCUUUUCAGGUAUGAGGGCCUUCUUGAGGAUUUCUUGUGGGGGGGUCCUUUUGGCUACGAAGUCCCUUAUCUUUUGUUUGUCUGGAAAAGAUUUAAUUUCUCCCUCAUAUCUGAAGGAUAUUUUUGCUGGAUAGAGUAUUCUUAGCUGAAGAUUUUUAUCCUUUAAGAUUUUGAAUAUGUUAUUCCAAUCCCUCCUAGCUUGUAAGGUUUCUGUAGAGAAAUCCACUGAAAGUCUGAUGGGUCCCUUUGUAGGUUAUUUUCUUCUGCCUUGCUGCCCUGAGUAUUCUUUCUUUGUCAUUCAUUUUAGCUAUUUUUAAUACUAUAUGCCUUGCCAUAGGUUUUUUUACAUUGACGAAUCUAGGAGAUUUGAAAGAUUCCUCCACACACAUUUCUCUCUCAAUCCCUAGAUUUGGGAAGUUCUCUGCUAUUAUUUCAUUGAGCACACUUUCUGCUCCAUUUUCCUUUUCCACUCCCUCAGGAAUUCUGGUUAUUCUUAAGUUGCAUUUUCUCACUGAGCCAGUUAUUUCUCGGAGAUUUUCUUCAGUUUUUUUUUAUUCUUAGUUCUCUCUCUUCCUCUGUCUGGAGCCAUUCAACCUGUCUAUCUUCAAUUAUGCUAAUUUUCUCCUCUAUGUGGUCUACAUGGGCAUUCAGUGAAUCUGUAUUCUGUUUCAUCUGAUCCAUUGUAUUUUUCAUCUCUAGUAUUUCUGAUUGGUUCUUCUUUAUAGUUUCAAUCUCUUUUGUGAAGUAACUCUAGAAGUUGUUGACUUGCUUCUCUAUAUUUCCCUUUACCUCAUUGAGUUUUUUGAUGAUAGCUAUUCUGAAUUCAUUGCCACUUAGUUUACCUAUUUCCAAGUCCUCAGGGCAUACUACUGUGUUUUUAUUGUUUUCCUUCUGGUCUGGAGCUUUUAUAAAUUGCUGGAUGGUAGAGGAAUGAUUUUUACACAUAAUGCUAUUAUUUGGUUGC